GACGAACGCUGGCGGCGUGCUUAACACAUGCAAGUCGAACGGAAAGGCCCUGCUUUUGUGGGGUGCUCGAGUGGCGAACGGGUGAGAAACACGUGAGUAACCUGCCCUUUACUUUGGGAUAACUUCAGGAAACUGGGGCUAAUACCGGAUAGGAGCUCCUGAUGCAGGGUGGGGGUUGGAAAGUUUCGGCGGGUGGGGUUGGAGUCGCGGCUUAUCAGCUUGUGGGUGGGGUAGUGGCUUACGCAGGCUUUGACGGGUAGCCGGACUGGGAGGGUGACCGGCCACAGUGGGACUGGGAGACGGCCCGGACUGAAUCUGGGGGCAGGGGUGGAGACUAUUGCCCGAAGGGCGGAGGCCGGAUGGAAGAACGCCGCGUGCGGAAUGACGGCCUUCGGGUAGUAAAACGAUUUCGCCUGUGACGAGGCGUGAGGGCCGGAACUGGAGAAAAAGGCACCGCCUAAUUACGU
This 467-nucleotide ribosomal RNA is filed under the name uncultured bacterium. RNAcentral describes it as "partial 16S ribosomal RNA". It matches the Rfam family "Bacterial small subunit ribosomal RNA", at positions 28 to 506 of the family's 1533-position model. The record is from RNAcentral.